RNAcentral lists this ribosomal RNA (301 nucleotides) under uncultured bacterium. RNAcentral describes it as "partial 16S ribosomal RNA". It matches the Rfam family "Bacterial small subunit ribosomal RNA", at positions 509 to 809 of the family's 1533-position model. The record is from RNAcentral.
CAGCCCACGGUAAUACGGAGGGUGCAAGCGUUAAUCGGAAUUACUGGGCGUAAAGCGCACGCAGGCGGUCUGACAAGUCAGAUGUGAAAUCCCCGGGCUUAACCUGGGAACUGCAUUUGAAACUGUCAGGCUGGAGUCUUGUAGAGGGGGGUGGAAUUCCAGGUGUAGCGGUGAAAUGCGUAGAGAUCUGGAGGAAUACCGGUGGCGAAGGCGGCCCCCUGGACAAAGACUGACGCUCAGGUGCGAAAGCGUGGGGAGCAAACAGGAUUAGAGACCCCAGUAGUCCCUGUCUCUUAUACAC